Molecule: ribosomal RNA, 301 nt
Filed under: uncultured bacterium
Lineage: Bacteria
Description: partial 16S ribosomal RNA
Rfam family: Bacterial small subunit ribosomal RNA
Source: RNAcentral
CAGUCGCCGCGGGAAUACGUAGGUCCCGAGCGUUGUCCGGAUUUAUUGGGCGUAAAGGGAGCGCAGGCGGUUUAGUAAGUCUGAAGUUAAAGGCAUUGGCUCAACCAAUGUAUGCUUUGGAGACUGUUAGACUUGAGUGCAGAAGGGGAGAGUGGAAUUCCAUGUGUAGCGGUGAAGUGCGUAGAUAUAUGGAGGAACACCGGUGACGAAAGCGGCUCUCCGGUCUGUCACUGACGCUGAGGCUCGAAAGCGUGGGUAGCAAACAGGAUUAGAUACCCCAGUAGUCCCUGUCUCUUAUACA